This 497-nucleotide ribosomal RNA is filed under the name uncultured bacterium. RNAcentral describes it as "partial 16S ribosomal RNA". It matches the Rfam family "Bacterial small subunit ribosomal RNA", at positions 28 to 507 of the family's 1533-position model. The record is from RNAcentral.
GAUGAACGCUGGCGGCGUGCCUAAUACAUGCAAGUCGAGCGACCGGACUUUAAGCUUUCUUCUCUGCUGUUUGCGUCUUACGUGUGAGUAACACGUUCAUCACCUUCCUCUUUUUCUUGGUUUACUUCGUGAAACCGGUUCUCCUACCGCCUAAUAUUUUGUACCGCUUGUUUCAUAAGUUCUUGACGUUCUUCCUGUCUCUUUUAGCUGUUUCCGCGCUGCAUUAUCUAGUUGGUAAGGUAACGUCUUACCAAGGCAACGAUGCAUAGCCGACAUGAGAGGAUGAUCGGCCACACUGGAACUGAGACACGGUCAAGAAUACUACGGGAGGCAGCAGUAGGGAAUAUUCAGCAAUGGGCGAAAGCAUGACGGAGCAAAGCCGCGUGAGUGAUGAAGGUCUUCGGAUCGUAAAACUCUGUUAUUAGGGAAGAAAAGAAGAGGAAGAAAAAGGGGAAAUAGUGACGGUAACAAAACAGAAAGCAACGGCUAACUACGUG